GAGAAGGGGAGAACGGAGAGAGGGAUGGAGGGAGAACUCAUGGUCCGCGGCUGCAAGGGAGCGAAGGGGGAAACCCUAGAUUCUUGAAUCUUCUGAAAAUUACAGUUGCAGGAGCCCCACGAAUUUGUUCAAUUCUUAUCCAUUAACUGCCUCCUUUUUGCCCGCCAUAAUCAUGUCGGUUUUCCUCAAAACCCAAAAAAUCGAGCUCCAGGAGCACUCGACCACGCGCCCUGAACCCCGCGAUUCCUCGUCCAUUUCCACCGUCCUCCACGUUACCGAGCGCCGGAUUUAGUGUUCGGAGGAUUGAUGAUAUCCCCGUCCGGAUCCCGAUCGAUGUUACCUGAAUUUCGUCCUUCUUGUUGUUCCAAUUCGAUGAUGCUGCAUUUUGGCCAAUCAAGGGUUGCUAAUUGGCAGCAUUCGCAAUCAGAAAUCCUGAAUUCGGCGUGGGUUUUUUGAGGUUUUCACGGAGGGGAGCCGCGUGCGGAGAUUUUCCAGGUUUUGGGACUUGCGGCAGGUUUUCAUUUCUCUCCCCUUUCGCAUGGCGAUAAUUGGGGACGCCCUCCGGCAGGCCUUCAUGCCGAGACAUGAGUAUGAUAAUCUGAGGGAAGAGGAGAAAGCGUGGGGACGGAUCCAGCGGCCGUUGGUUACCGGCACGGUGGCGCUUCUUUGGUUUGCAGUGCUUCUUUCUGCUUCCUUAAGCCUGAACAUUGUGUUUCCAGCCGACGGUGGCGACCGGCCUCUGUGCGAUGACCGCCGGAUUCAGCCGUUACCCGUCGUGCCUGAGAAUAGAUCCGAGGGCGUCGAGUUGUUGCCCCACGCGUAUUACUUGACGGACGAAGAGGCGGCUCAAUAUUACUGGGUAGUGGUGUUCAUCCCUUCUGCUAUCCUCUUCCUGUGCUCGGUUAUUUACCUCUUAGCAGGAAUGGCUGUUGCAUAUGCUGCUCCUGCAAGACAUGCAUGCUUGAGGGUUGUUGAGAAUAACUACUGUGCUUCAAAGAGGGGUGGAGUCCGCUGCUUGUCCAUUCUCAACUUAAUAUUUGCUGUUGUUUUUGGACUCCUUGCCUUAUUCAUGGGCUCCAGCAUCCUCACAUUAGCAAGUAACUGUUCAACGGCCCUGUUUUGGUGCUACGAAGUGUUCAGCUGGGGGCUUGUGAUCCUGUAUGGAGGCACAGGGCUCCUUCUCCGAAGGAAAGCUGCAGCUAUUCUCGAUGAAGGUGAGGUUGCAGGCAGCCGGACCAUUGGUCUGGAAAUGCUUGAGGCUCCAAUGGAUGUGACACCAGAGAUGGCAAGGCGAGCAAACGAAGGUUUCAAGUCUUGGAUGGGUUCGUCGCUGCUUUCUUCUGAUGACGAAGAAGGUCCUGAGAACUGGUGACUAGCAGCAGAUGACAAAAGAAGAGAGACUUUCAGGUGCUUUUGGCAUUCUCUAGCUCAUCCAGACUGGUGGAUGUCGUGAGACAUAAGGUGUGAGGUGGCCACUAGCGAGGGUGCAGUCGGCAGCGUAGUUGGGAGCAUGUGAGCCUCACUGCCUUCGGAGUUCGUGUCUUGCUCUGCUCCACCACCAACUCCUCACGGGGCAUCUGCAGAGAAAUGGGGAACAUGGUGGCGCAUGGCUAACUCAGCACCUUUCGGCGGGUGGACUGAUGGGGAUUUAUAUUAAAAACAAAUUAAAGUCGUCCAAAUAAUUAUAAACUACUAAAAUCAGUGUCAAAAAAUCAGGAUUCAGAUCAGCCUGUUUCCAUUGAUACAGUAUCUCAUGUUGGCGCUAGAAAAAAGAGAAAAAAAAAAACAGCCCUCUUCCUUCCUCUCUCCCUCCCCCAUUGAGGCCCUGUAUCGGUAAAUGAGAUAUUCAAACGAUGAGUGGUUGACAGAAGUUACAGAACCAAGCCCGCUCUCUCCUGCACACACACACACACACACACAGAAAGAUGCAGUGGGCAGGUGGUCCCUUGCAGAUUCGAUGGAAAACAAGGGCGGAAAGAUGUUCAAUUCUAUACUACAACUUGAGUUUUACCAAUGGCGACAUUUGUAUAC
This is an RNA transcript of Nymphaea colorata (pocket water lily), 2031 nucleotides long. RefSeq lists it as uncharacterized. The transcript is spliced from 4 exons. The record is from RefSeq and is a predicted model, not a curated record. Lineage: Eukaryota; Viridiplantae; Streptophyta; Magnoliopsida; Nymphaeales; Nymphaeaceae.